Molecule: ribosomal RNA, 638 nt
Filed under: Bacillus sp. (in: firmicutes)
Lineage: Bacteria; Bacillati; Bacillota; Bacilli; Caryophanales; Bacillaceae
Description: bacterial SSU rRNA
Rfam family: Bacterial small subunit ribosomal RNA
Source: RNAcentral
GGCGGCGUGCCUAUACUGCAAGUCGAGCGAACAAAGGGAGCUUGCUCCCUGAGGUUAGCGGCGGACGGGUGAGUAACACGUGGGUAACCUGCCUGUAAGAUUGGGAUAACUCCGGGAAACCGGAGCUAAUACCGGAUAACAUUUUGAACCGCAUGGUUCAAAAUUGAAAGAUGGCUUCGGCUAUCACUUACAGAUGGACCCGCGGCGCAUUAGCUAGUUGGUGAGGUAACGGCUCACCAAGGCGACGAUGCGUAGCCGACCUGAGAGGGUGAUCGGCCACACUGGGACUGAGACACGGCCCAGACUCCUACGGGAGGCAGCAGUAGGGAAUCUUCCGCAAUGGACGAAAGUCUGACGGAGCAACGCCGCGUGAACGAUGAAGGCCUUCGGGUCGUAAAGUUCUGUUGUUAGGGAAGAACAAGUACCAGAGUAACUGCUGGUACCUUGACGGUACCUAACCAGAAAGCCACGGCUAACUACGUGCCAGCAGCCGCGGUAAUACGUAGGUGGCAAGCGUUGUCCGGAAUUAUUGGGCGUAAAGCGCGCGCAGGCGGUUUCUUAAGUCUGAUGUGAAAGCCCACGGCUCAACCGUGGAGGGUCAUUGGAAACUGGGGAACUUGAGUGCAGAAGAGGAGAGU